This 186-nucleotide non-coding RNA is filed under the name Gammaproteobacteria bacterium. Its description in RNAcentral is "6S RNA". It matches the Rfam family "6S / SsrS RNA". Rfam says of the family: E. coli 6S RNA was the first non coding RNA to be sequenced, but its function was unknown until recently. It consists of 184 nucleotides that fold into an extended hairpin structure with a large single-stranded internal bulge. The 6S RNA specifically associates with RNA polymerase holoenzyme containing the sigma70 specificity factor. The record is from RNAcentral. Lineage: Bacteria; Pseudomonadati; Pseudomonadota; Gammaproteobacteria.
UAUCUUCUGCGGUGUUCGUGAUUUGACUGGUGUUACUUGAGCCGAUACUACAUGAACCAGGGAACUAACCGCGAUGUUGUUGUGCAUACCCCCGCUAAGGUGGGCAGCCUGAUAUAUCGCUCGCUGUUCCCACUUGAUCCUACGGUUCAAGUUAGAUUGUCAAUUGAACGGCAUUGCGGUUGAUAC